RNAcentral lists this ribosomal RNA (571 nucleotides) under Diaporthe phaseolorum. Its description in RNAcentral is "eukaryotic LSU rRNA". The stretch from base 202 to 355 matches the Rfam family "5.8S ribosomal RNA". Lineage: Eukaryota; Fungi; Ascomycota; Sordariomycetes; Diaporthales; Diaporthaceae. The record is from RNAcentral.
GUAGGUGAACCUGCGGAGGGAUCAUUGCUGGAACGCGCUUCGGCGCACCCAGAAACCCUUUGUGAACUUAUACCUACUGUUGCCUCGGCGCAGGCCGGCCUCUUCACUGAGGCCCCCUGGAGACAGGGAGCAGCCCGCCGGCGGCCAACUAAACUCUUGUUUCUUUAGUGAAUCUCUGAGUAAAAAACAUAAAUGAAUCAAAACUUUCAACAACGGAUCUCUUGGUUCUGGCAUCGAUGAAGAACGCAGCGAAAUGCGAUAAGUAAUGUGAAUUGCAGAAUUCAGUGAAUCAUCGAAUCUUUGAACGCACAUUGCGCCCUCUGGUAUUCCGGAGGGCAUGCCUGUUCGAGCGUCAUUUCAACCCUCAAGCCUGGCUUGGUGAUGGGGCACUGCCUGUAAAAGGGCAGGCCCUGAAAUCUAGUGGCGAGCUCGCCAGGACCCCGAGCGUAGUAGUUAUAUCUCGCUCUGGAAGGCCCUGGCGGUGCCCUGCCGUUAAACCCCCAACUUCUGAAAAUUUGACCUCGGAUCAGGUAGGAAUACCCGCUGAACUUAAGCAUAUCAAUAAGCGGAG